Molecule: ribosomal RNA, 301 nt
Filed under: uncultured bacterium
Lineage: Bacteria
Description: partial 16S ribosomal RNA
Rfam family: Bacterial small subunit ribosomal RNA
Source: RNAcentral
CAGUAGCCGCGGUAAAACAGAGGGUGCGAGCGUUAAUCGGAUUUACUGGGCGUAAAGCGUGCGUAGGCGGCUAAUUGAGUCGGAUGUGAAAUCCCCGAGCUUAACUUGGGAAUUGCAUUCGAUACUGGUUAGCUAGAGUGUGGGAGAGGAUGGUAGAAUUCCAGGUGUAGCGGUGAAAUGCGUAGAGAUCUGGAGGAAUACCGAUGGCGAAGGCAGCCAUCUGGCCUAACACUGACGCUGAGGUACGAAAGCAUGGGGAGCAAACAGGAUUAGAUACCCCAGUAGUCCCUGUCUCUUAUAC